AAAUCACAAGAUCAUCUUUCACUUCCUCGAAUGAAGUUAGGGCUUAUAACUUUGUUUCUUGACGCAAACACGAACCAUCUCUUGACUUCAAGCUGUGGAUGGGUCGUCUUCUCCGGUGCUUGAGCUGUCCUUCACUCUAUGCGUCAAUCACGUGUGCAGUGCGUCUUCCGUCAACAACGUGCCAUGCUUGAUUGUAGUGAACAAUUAUUUUGUAACUGUAACUUACAUAUGCAAUUCCUUUAAUUUACGUGUCAACACUUGCUAUAUAUUAUUUAUAAAUAUAUAUUAUAUAAAUUAUAAAUUCCAAAACUUUCCUCCUUGAACUGAACUCCGGCGCAUUCGGCAAUCGACUUGUGUGGACUUCCUGUAAACACGGACCUCCCGGUAAUGCUUGUUAAACUGUCUUUUUAAAUAAACUCCGGGUUUGCAAACUAAGUUGUUUGUGCUUCGUUUUAUGUGUAGGGACCCUAGUCAUGCUACUGCAGAGGUUUGGUGCUAUUUAGUGGUUCAAAAAUGCGGAUUUAGAAGCGAAACACUAUGCCCCAAGUCAACAACAUGGACGCCAAACAUUGCGCCCGGCAAACUAUAAUACUCGAUUUUCAAUGAAAAAGGUAUCUGGGAGGCUUAUUUGAUGGGUUUUAAUGCCAAAACAAAGAUCCUGGGUUCAAUUUGCGCCGGAAUUACACUUUAACACCACCACCCUGCGUCCUCGGCCAGUAAACGUCACCUAGGAGCUGUGGAGCAGCUACCAUGCUGAAAUCCAAUAGUAUCCAACUGCAGCCCCGGAGAACAACACCCUGCCAUGACAGAACACCCAGGCGGGACAGAAGUACUGUGGCUGGACGGAAGACAAAUACCGGUAAACGUAUUUAUCGCUUGAAUUAACAAAACAUAGAAAUAAAAUAAUAUUUCGACACGUUAGUAACCACUUUUAGAGCUUAAUAAAGGUUUAACGUUAUUUAGACAAAUACCUCAGGAUUUUUUCUUUGCGUUCUUAAACUUAUUAGACCAAAACAUUAGAAUAAAACAAUAUUAUGACAUGUCAGUAAGCUUUUUUUAUAGCUUAAUUUUAUUAACGUUAUAUAGACGAAAAAACUGAUUUAGGGUGUAGACAAUUAUUUAAUGGAAUUGUGUAUUAUACACUUUACUCAUUGAGUAAUUGACCAUUAGAAUUAAGUAAUUAGAAUUAAGUAAUUGUUUUAAUAUGUCUGAUUGAAUCACAUUAAUUUUUUUGUAAAGUAUACCAUCAUAAUUUGAUAUAAAUAUACAUUGAAGAAUAACCACACCAAAGUUUCUUCACAAUUUAUUUAACAAAUAAUCUACAGAAGCCAAAAGAUAUAGCUUCUUCAUGCUGACUGCCAUCAGCUUCAACUCACUGUCAAAAGAAUCAAACAGUUAAAAUCAAUAUUAAGCCUAUACAAUAUAUUAUUUGUAUUCUGUCACUGGAAACGUCAUUCACUUCUCUUUUUCGCUUCAGUCUGAAGACUGGAAGUAGUUCAGCCGCCAUUUGUUUGGCCUCCUCCAUGAAGUGUGGGAACCUUCUGCCGUGCCUGUAUAAAUAAAGAUAAAUGAUUGUAGGAAUUAUACAUAUUUUGUUAAUAUUGGGGUUGAGGUAUAUAUUCAUAUUUGAAAUAAACAAAAACAUACCCAUCCAGAUGGAAGUUCUCAAGCAGUACUGUGCACCACCAUUUUCUGAGGACAGGCAUGUCUUUCUAAAGUAAGGGGAUAUUCCAAGAAUUGACAAUGAUAAAAUAUGUAUACAAGUAUGAGUUUUUCGAUAUUGUAAC
This is a long non-coding RNA of Gadus macrocephalus (Pacific cod), 1787 nucleotides long. RefSeq lists it as uncharacterized. The record is from RefSeq and is a predicted model, not a curated record. The transcript is spliced from 2 exons. NCBI's taxonomy places the organism in Eukaryota, Metazoa, Chordata, Actinopteri, Gadiformes, Gadidae.